CCUACGGGAGGCAGCAGUGGGGAAUAUUGCACAAUGGGCGAAAGCCUGAUGCAGCAACGCCGCGUGAGCGAUGAAGGCCUUCGGGUCGUAAAGCUCUGUCCUCAAGGAAGAUAAUGACGGUACUUGAGAAGGAAGCCCCGGCUAACUACGUUCCAGCAGCCGCGGUAAUACGUAGGGGGCUAGCGUUAUCCGGAUUUACUGGGUGUAACGGGUGCGUAGGUGGAUUCUUAAGUCUGAGGUGAAAGGCUACGGCUAAACCGUAGUAAGCCUUUGAAACUGGGGAACUGGAGUGCAGGAGAGGAGAGUGGAAUUCCUAGUGUAGCGGUGAAAUGCGUAGAUAUUAGGAGGAACACCAGUUGCGAAGGCGGCUCACUGGACUGUAACUGACACUGAGGCACGAAAGCGUGGGGAGCAAACAGGAUUAGAUACCCGAGUAGUC
RNAcentral lists this ribosomal RNA (439 nucleotides) under uncultured bacterium. RNAcentral describes it as "partial 16S ribosomal RNA". It matches the Rfam family "Bacterial small subunit ribosomal RNA", at positions 338 to 795 of the family's 1533-position model. The record is from RNAcentral.